This 937-nucleotide ribosomal RNA is filed under the name uncultured soil bacterium. RNAcentral's name for it is "bacterial SSU rRNA". It matches the Rfam family "Bacterial small subunit ribosomal RNA", at positions 60 to 993 of the family's 1533-position model. The record is from RNAcentral.
AGUCGAACGGCAGCACGGGCUUCGGCCUGGUGGCGAGUGGCGAACGGGUGAGUAAUACAUCGGAACGUGCCCUGUAGUGGGGGAUAACUAGUCGAAAGAUUAGCUAAUACCGCAUACGACCUGAGGGUGAAAGCGGGGGACCGCAAGGCCUCGCGCUACAGGAGCGGCCGAUGUCUGAUUAGCUAGUUGGUGGGGUAAGAGCCUACCAAGGCGACGAUCAGUAGCUGGUCUGAGAGGACGAUCAGCCACACUGGGACUGAGACACGGCCCAGACUCCUACGGGAGGCAGCAGUGGGGAAUUUUGGACAAUGGGGGCAACCCUGAUCCAGCAAUGCCGCGUGUGUGAAGAAGGCCUUCGGGUUGUAAAGCACUUUUGUCCGGAAAGAAAUGGCCUGGGAUAAUACCCCGGGUCGAUGACGGUACCGGAAGAAUAAGCACCGGCUAACUACGUGCCAGCAGCCGCGGUAAUACGUAGGGUGCGAGCGUUAAUCGGAAUUACUGGGCGUAAAGCGUGCGCAGGCGGUUUUGUAAGACAGGCGUGAAAUCCCCGAGCUUAACUUGGGAAUGGCGCUUGUGACUGCAAGGCUAGAGUAUGUCAGAGGGGGGUAGAAUUCCACGUGUAGCAGUGAAAUGCGUAGAGAUGUGGAGGAAUACCGAUGGCGAAGGCAGCCCCCUGGGACGUCACUGACGCUCAUGCACGAAAGCGUGGGGAGCAAACAGGAUUAGAUACCCUGGUAGUCCACGCCCUAAACGAUGUCAACUAGUUGUUGGGGAUUCAUUUCUUCAGUAACGUAGCUAACGCGUGAAGUUGACCGCCUGGGGAGUACGGUCGCAAGAUUAAAACUCAAAGGAAUUGACGGGGACCCGCACAAGCGGUGGAUGAUGUGGAUUAAUUCGAUGCAACGCGAAAAACCUUACCUACCCUUGACAUGCCACU